This 4695-nucleotide long non-coding RNA is filed under the name Sus scrofa (pig). RNAcentral's name for it is "lncRNA (ENSSSCG00040045151.1)". Lineage: Eukaryota; Metazoa; Chordata; Mammalia; Artiodactyla; Suidae. The record is from RNAcentral.
UCUCAUUUUUGAGGAAUGCUUUAAAAAAGCAAGUACUUUAGUCCAGACCAAAAAAAAAAAAAAAAAAGUAGAAAAGAAAAUAUUAAUAAUAAUGUAUAAGUUGAAAUCUUGGCCCUAAUAAAAAAUAUUAACUAGUAAGGGAGAUAUUUUGCAUUAAUUAUAAUAUCUAUGAUACAGAGAGUGCCUUGGUAUUUUAAAACCUUUUCUACAAUGUUUAUUAAGUGUUUGAUGGCUAUAUUUGUAGGGGACCAAAAUUUUCUGCUGCAAAUGGUGUCUCUUUGGCAGAAGGAUUGAUUUAGGCUGAUUUCUUUUUUUUCUUUUUUCUUUUUUUUCUUUUGGUUGCACCAACAGAAGUUUGCAGGCCAGCGAUUGAACCCUUGGCAUAGCUGUAACCAGAGCCACAUCAGUGACAAUGCCAGGUCCUUAACCAGCUGAGCCAUGAGGGAAUGCCAUAGGUUGAUUAUUUUCAAGACUCAAAAGACUCAGGAAGAAGCUUUGAUCUUUCCCCUGACUACGUAAAAAAUGUAGAGUCCUCUUCUAGGAAGAAGUUAUGGCAUUAGAUCACUAGUUUAUGACAUAGGCGUGGUAGACAGGGAGGGAUCUCGCAAAGAGAGUUACAAUUCCUUUCUGUGUCUCAUUGUCUCUGCCUGGCCCAGAAAAUAUUUCCAGAAGAACCUGGAAGGGUAGAGGAAAAUUUCAUCCUUCUCCAGAGAUUGAAUUAAGGAAUUCUCUUUACUAUCUAAUUUAAUUUAAAACAAUAUGUAAAUAUUCCAGAUACAUUGGUCAUACAUUUUCAUUCGAAGAAUGGAGUUUUGAAAGGUUACAUUUUCUUUUCCAAGUCUGUUUUAUUAUUGGCUCUUACCUUUCCUCUAAUUUGAGAGAUGGCUUUGGCAGGCAGAAAGAUGGCAAGUUGUAGAAUCCAUUGGCCUUGGCUUCAAACUUUUGUGCUUCAUCACCUGGCUUUGAGACCUCUGUUUCCUCAUCUGUCAUAUGGAUGCAUUCACAGCUAUCUUAGUACAUUUAAGUGGAGACAGGAGUUGAGAUCUCCUGCAAAGCAGCUUGUGCAGAACUCCAUGUGCUAUGAUCUUCACUUUACCUCGUGGCAUUUUCUCUUGCCAUUUAAGUCUCUCCCACACACUCAACAAGUGCAUGCAUUCGUCAGUAGAGCUGCUCAGGAGUUUGUGUUUUAAGUUAGAAUAUCAUUAGAAACCUCUAAAUGCUGUUUUGAUCAAUAAAAGAAGUCUCUCCUUUUGGUAGAUGAAGACCUCUCUGGCCGAGUGAAGUGUUGCUCAAAUUUAGAAGAAUGGAAAAAGAUCUAGUUCUCUAAAAGCCUAUCUUCUAGGACUGAACCAAGAGAGGGCAAGAAUGUGAAGUUAAUCCUGGGGCUGUAUUACCCAUAGCAAAGGGUUGCAAUUUAUUUGUACAUUCUGUGCUAUGAUGAAUGCCAGAUAUGGCUCUGCUCUCUUCUUAUUCUGUUGGCAAUAAUUUGCAUUUUUCUAGCGUUCUAGGGCUUAAUUUUCUCAAGAAGCUCAUUUUUAUUUUAAUGCAAGGAAUUUUAUGCUGAGCAUAAAUUUUUAAAUGACAGAGAUAGCAUCUUAUAUGUAUAUAACUUUUUUAUAGGGAUAUUAUCUAUUUCAUUGACACCACAUACUCAAAUUGUAAUAGAGAUCAGCAUUCCUAUUUUGUAAAGUGGAAAGCUGAAGCUGUCCAUAACUUCUCCAGUGUCCACACCAAUGCAAUUUUAUUUUGUGAAAACUGGAAAUGGACUGUUAGAAGGCUGGUGUUGGCUUUGUAAUUCUGCACACACACCUUCAUUUAAAAAAAAUGUUAUGUAAAGCAGUCGUCUCAUCACUUACAUUGUGUGGCAUUGCCAAAAUUAGAUAUAUUUGUAUCUUAUCCACAGAAGUCUUUUUGAGGAUAGGAUAUAACAUGUUGGAAAAUAUCAUUAUAAGCCAUUUCUUUCUAGAUCCAGCCAAAGGCAUGUUAAAAAAUUGGAUGGAACACAAGUUAUCUAACAGCCAUAUACUUCUUUGCACUUUGUGUGCUUUUUUUUUUCUUACAUUUGUGACUGUGUAUUAGUUAGGUGAGUAGCAGAGCUGUUGUAAGAGACACAACCCAACAUUUUAGUGUGUUUCCCUUAAAAAAAAAAUAUGUAUCUUAGAGUCACAAAUCCAACAUGGCUGUUACUGGUUGAUGGCUUUUCCUGAGUGUUGGGCAGACUCAGGCUCUUUCCAACUCAUGGCUCUGGCAUUUCUACAAGUCUCUGAGCCUUCUGCUGAAUCCACCGUCUCAGGAAGACAGAUGGGGAAAACAAGACAGCAUUAUGUGUGACAGAUCUUUAUGUGUCUGUCCUGAGAGACACCCCUACAGAAUUCAGUCCCAAGGCCCUGUAUAACUGCAAGAGAGUGGAUACCCAAUAAAUAAUUCUCGUAUACAAAAUGCAUAAAUUGUGAUAGCAGUGACGGUGCAAAGCAGAGGGAACCAUCCCAGAAGUGCCUACAGUCUAUGGACUUCCUGAUGUAUUACUGCCUUCAGACAGAAGCUGUGCAACUUGGCAGAUUCUAGAGUGAGAUAGCAAUUCCUUUCCCAGGUGGCUUGUCUUUGGGCAAGUGAUUUAACUCGUCCGAGCCUCAGGUGUUUAAUCUAUGAAAUAUCAAGAGAAGGAAAAUAAACAGUUAUUGGUCACAUGCUCUUCUCCAGAAACAGUGCUAUCUACAUAAUAGGAAAUAUUUACAAUCUCACUGCAUUCUCACAGCCACCCCAAGUACAGGGCCAUGCAGUAUAAAACUUGAAAAGGGGAGCUGUGGAGUUCGUUUCCCUGAGUGAAGAUUCUAGUUCCACCUACCUAUUGGCUCAGUGAUUUGGGGCAUGUUUCUUAUGCACAGACCCUCAGCUGCUCAUCUGUACAAUGAGGAUCAUACUCUCGAACUUCUAGAUGAGGGCAAGGAGCAAGUCGGCACACACAACGCAUCUGAAAGAGCACCAGACACAUCACAUGUGCUCAGUAUAAGUUAGCUGUUGUUAAUGUGUUUAGCAUCCUAAUUGUCGUGAGAACUGCCAAGAGACAUCUUUCUGAACCCACUGUUCUUUGGACAGAUUGAAAGAGGCAAACCACUCAGUCGUGGGAAAUAUGGUUCUGAGCUUGAGCACUCUUCUUUAUAAACCAACUUAGAAAAACAUUUAUGUUGAUUGCAUUAGAAAAACAAAGUUAGGAGUUCUUGUGGCUCAGCCAGUUAAGAACAUAGUCUCCCUGAGGAUGUGGGUUCGAUCUCUGGGCUCCCUUAGUGGGUUAAGGACCCCGUGUUGUCGCAAGUUGCGGUGGAAGUCACAGAUGAAAUCUGGAUCCACUGUGGCUGUGGCUGUGGUGUAAGCCAGCAGCUACAGUUCCCAGUCGACUCCUAGCCUGGGAACAUCCAUAUACAGCAGGUGCAGCCAUAAAAAGAAAAAAUAAAAGUUAAUUAAAUAUUGGACUUAAGGAAGAUAUUCCAAGAAAAUAAAAUUAUUAAAAUAUAUUACUUCUUUAUCAGGUAACACUAGGGUCCUAGGUAUAGCCAUCAGAAAGUAUAAGGUCUUUCAGAACUAAUGUAUGAAUGAAUUAUUCUACUAGAAUGUAGCAAAUGCAUUUAGAAUUAUCUUUAUAUUGACAAGUGUGAGGAGCCAUGGGAAGAGCGGUUGAAAUGGGGAAGAAGAGAUGAAAGUUAAUAGAAGAAUUUUUUUAACCACCUUGAUUCCAUUUGAAUCUUACUGGUAGCUACCUACACACUAUUACAAAACACUCAUAUCCUCAUACUUAUCCUUUGUCUUUUUGAUUUUCAUUUUUCCCUCGUGUGUAUUUUAUUUAAUUUUGUUUUAUUUUUUAUAAAUUUCUGCCGUACAGCAAAGUGUUCCAGUCAUACAUACCUAUAUACACAUUCUUUUUCUCAUACUAUCUUCCAUCAUGCUCCAUCACAAGAGAUUGGAUAUAGUUCCCUGUGCUGUACCGCAGGAUCUCAUUGUAUUUUAUUUCUCGGUGGUUUAUUAGUCUAAAUCUGGACAAGAACUGGGGAGAAGAAAGUUAGUCAUGGUUUUCAUGGAAGCGUGGACUUGUGAUGUUUUGUUAGCUACUUCUUUGGGCUCUUAGAAACUGAGCCCCAAACAGCACAUGCCAAGAGGGGUUCCUCAUAUUUUCAAGAGGAGCAAGUAUUUACCUUCUUGGACAUCUUGACAGCUAGCAGUCUUGGUUGAGAGAAACCAUCUUUUAAUUUGAAUCAGAAAUGCCGUGCGCAGCCGCAAGCUGGAGAGAACCCAGGGUCCUACCAGGGAGUUUUGCCAACGAGGUCAUGAAGGCAGAUAUGGCUAUAAGGUGCAUAUGUUUCAGUGCACCUUGAGUUCUGUAGACAUAGGUCUGUUGACAGUGGAAGCCCUUUGACAUUCUAAGAAGAUAAAUGACAUGAUGAAAACCGUUCUCUAAGAACAAAUAAAUAGUAGUCAGAAUUUCCUCCCCAUUCUCCUUUUCCUUCUCACUGUUCCCAGCAUUCUCCCUCUGUUGACUCCCUUUCCUCUCUCCGAAGCUCCUAAAUGAAGGGCGUUAUGAUGGAAAAUGCUAUAGCGACUUGGGAACUAGGGUAGAAAAAUAUGGUGGAAGCACAGGAAGAAUCCUAGAAUAAUUUCCAGCAAGGACUUUAUUUUUAUUUUAUUUUUAUUUUUUCCUCUUUU